UGACAAGAAGCGAGAAGCGGAACGAAGCAAACAUAAAUUGAGAAAGAUGUGGAGGAGGCAAGAAAAAAGAAAGAAAUGGCAAAGAUGUCAAUUCCGAAGGAAAGAGAAGAAGACAGAGGUGAGGGAGAAAGAAGUGGAAAAUAAGAAGAACUAAAAAGAAUAGAAGAAGAGGAACAAGGAAAAGAGAUAGAGAGUGAAGAGAAACAGAAAGAAAGUGGAUGGUAAAGAAAAAGAAAUGGAUAUAGUUUCUCCCUUCGAACCUUCA
Molecule: long non-coding RNA, 265 nt
Filed under: Ananas comosus (pineapple)
Lineage: Eukaryota; Viridiplantae; Streptophyta; Magnoliopsida; Poales; Bromeliaceae
Description: long non-coding RNA (ACOM_LNC039576)
Source: RNAcentral